CAGCCGCCGCGGUAAUACAGAGGGUGCGAGCGUUAAUCGGAUUUACUGGGCGUAAAGCGUGCGUAGGCGGCUAAUUGAGUCGGAUGUGAAAUCCCCGAGCUUAACUUGGGAAUUGCAUUCGAUACUGGUUAGCUAGAGUGUGGGAGAGGAUGGUAGAAUUCCAGGUGUAGCGGUGAAAUGCGUAGAGAUCUGGAGGAAUACCGAUGGCGAAGGCGGCCCCCUGGACAAAGACUGACGCUCAGGUGCGAAAGCGUGGGGAGCAAACAGGAUUAGAUACCCGCGUAGUCCCUGUCUCUUAUAC
Molecule: ribosomal RNA, 301 nt
Filed under: uncultured bacterium
Lineage: Bacteria
Description: partial 16S ribosomal RNA
Rfam family: Bacterial small subunit ribosomal RNA
Source: RNAcentral